AUGUUAGCUUCAGCUCCACUGCUGCUGCUGGCUCUCGCCCCCUAUGUGUUCUGUGCUACUGAGCUCAUCCAGCCAGACUCACUGCUUAUAAAGCCAGGAGAGACUUUAACCAUCACCUGUAAAGUGUCUGGAGCUUCUAUCACUGAUAGCAGCAGCCACUAUGGAACAGAUUGGAUUCGACAACCUGCAGGAAAAGCUUUAGAAUGGAUCAACACCAUUUAUUAUAAUGGUGAUAUUUAUAAGAAAGAUUCACUUAAAGACAAGUUUGUCGUCUCUCGAGACACUUCCAGUAACACUGUGACCUUACGGGGACAGAACAUGCAGACUGAAGACACAGCUGUGUAUUACUGCGCUCGUGAUCCACACAGUAGAUGGACAGGCCGGGGCCUGGCCUGCGCCGCCGGGAUGCUCGCGCUCACCUCCGCGGGAUACUGCGCGUAUCGCUGGCUGAAGAGGAGCAGCGAUCUUCAAGCUGCUGAACUUCAAGCUGCUCACGGAUCUGUUGUUGAUGAUGUGGAGGAAGCCGAGACCACCGAGUGUAUUCUUUAG
Molecule: non-coding RNA, 549 nt
Organism: Hemibagrus wyckioides
Lineage: Eukaryota; Metazoa; Chordata; Actinopteri; Siluriformes; Bagridae
Source: the annotation of a RefSeq genome assembly